Musca domestica (house fly) is the source of this 3511-nucleotide long non-coding RNA. RefSeq lists it as uncharacterized. The record is from RefSeq and is a predicted model, not a curated record. The transcript has 8 exons. NCBI's taxonomy places the organism in Eukaryota, Metazoa, Arthropoda, Insecta, Diptera, Muscidae.
GCAUCAACGCUUAGGAGCAUUGAUAUGUCAAAAAAAUUGAAAUGUUUUUUUAAAAUAUAAGUAGAUUUUUAUAUGUUUUCUUAUUCUAAGUCAAAAGGAGGCUAUUAUAAUUCGCGUUUUUCAAAAAUUUUUGCAAAUUUAAAUAAUUUUUCAUUCAACAUUUUCAUUCCCAAAAUUGGUUUGACAGUUCAUUGUCCCAGCAGCUGUGUCGAUGCGUCUACCUAUAUUCUUUUACCAUGGUUUGUACGAUACCCAAAGUAUUCAUGUACCAAUACUUAGUGUUUUUGGUUACUGGUUACCGUUUAUGUAUUCUUUGCUUGUUACUUUAUGUCACUUAUUUGUAGUAAUUUUAAAAGUUACAGCUGGAUGUUGUUUUUAUUAAAGAAUUUACACAAUUCAUUAAAAUGAUCGCUGGACAAAGUUUUAAGAAUCUAUUGCUUAGUUUUAUGUUUCCAGGAGUCAGGUUUGUACCGGAAAACUGUGAAAAGUGCUGGUAGAUUAAAAAGAAACCAUCCUUAACGGAAAGUUCUGUAUGUAUGAUGGCACCGACAUGAGCGGCGUGCUUUGCAAAACAUUUAGCCCGUUCCUUAGCGGGAAUGCCUAUGGGGAAUGGGUCCAAAUAAAGGUUAUGUAUUUUUAUGAGCAUUGUGUUUUGGAUUCUAUAAAUGGUUUUCUUGCUGCAAAUGGGAGUAGAUAUUGCUGGAAGCUUUCUAACACGUUUAAACCUUCUGUACUAUUGAGAGAGGUCAAAUUGGUUAGCGGUCACCUCACACCCGUUGAUAAAGCGCUUCGGUGCCGGUUCCGAAUAACCUGAGGUGUGUGAUCCGACUACCUGUAUUCUUUUACCAUGGUUACAGCGAUACCUAACAGUGGAACCUAAAAUUCGACGCCCUGAGUCGACGAUUUUUACCGCAUAAUUUGAAAACAUGUGCCCCAUAUACACAUUUUGUGCAUUGUUUGUUACGUGCGCCAAGGAGGCGGCUUGGGGAUGUUUCCCAUUCGGACUCCGGCCAACCCAGCCUUAUUCUCUAGGGUGUACUCCCAACCCGGAUACCAUCAGCCCCUGACACGCAACAUAAAAACUAGGAAACCAAAAUCAAAAUGAAGCUAAAAUAAAAGUGCAACAACAUCAAUGAAACCUAAACCCGAUGGCUUUAAGUUCGAACACAUUACUAUGAUCACUGCAUUUCUAUCAUACUCCCAGUGACCCCUAUGAACCGCCCACAUCCAUCACUUACCUCAUCCUUUUAAUCCUCCAUAUUUUGUUUAACAUUUUAUACUAUACUAUAUAAGUCACAUCAUGUUUAUUAAAAAAAAACUCCUAAUUCUAACAAAAAUCUUCAAUAUCGUCAAAGGUAUUUAUAAAUUUUCUUAAAAAUUUUAUACAAAAAACAAAAAAAAACCAAAAAAUUUUAAAUAAGAAGAAACACAAAAUAAUAAAAAGUUGUUUUAAAUUUAGUUUCUGUAAAGAUUUUUUAACGCAAACGCACUUCCUGUUAGGAAUGACUAAAUCGAACGGUCUUAAGACCAACAGACAAUAUCUCUUUACUUUUUUGAUGAUUGAGUUCAUCCACUGAUAAUAGUUGCAAAGCAAACAAAUACAGAAUUUAGACAAGAUGAAAAAAAUCUGUUUUAAAUAACACUUCCCACUCUAUUGUCCUCGUAAAAAGAGAUCUUUUCUGGAAGUCUGUUAAGGGCGAAUCAAUUAAAAUUAGCUUUGAAAUUGCUGUGGAGAAAAUCAUGCAAUCAUAAAAAAUCAAUAAAUAUAUACUUAUAAAUAAAUGAACAAAUAAAAUGUCGUUAAAUAUAAAUAUUAAUAAAUAGUUAAAUCAGGCAAAAUUAAUAAAUAAAAAAAACAUGUAAAAUUAAUAUAUAGUAAUUAAUAUAUAGCAAAAUUAAUAUAUGGAUAAAUCAUGCAAAUUAAAAAUUUAAAAAAACCGUGAAAAUCCGUUUCAAUUUGAUGUGGUCUCAGUUGAUGUGAUGUUUUGAUUUAGCCUUGGAAUUAGACUUAUGUUGUUUCUCAUUCCGUUAACAACAUUCCAAAGCAAUCACAGCGUUAUUUUAAGGAACUUGGUGUUAUUCUUGGGCUCCAGAAUUUAUAUAUAUUUAAAAAUAUUCAUUUUAGAAUAUUUUGACGUGCGCAAAUGCGGCGAAUUCGCCUGUUUUAAUUGACUUUGUAUCUCGGGCAAAUUAAUGUGUUGGUGCUGAAGUUGGAAUGAGUGGAUAUCAGAGAGACAACAGGUACUGACCCAUAGAUGGCGGUCGGUCAGUUUUUUUUUUUAUCUCAAAUAAAUGUUGGGAAAAUUUAAUUCCAACCUUUUCUAAAAAUAAAUCUUCAUGGACUUGCUUCCCGUCCUUCCGGGUCGCAACUACAUCCACUGAUUGGGGAUUGGGGACCGCUUCAUUUUUUCACAUGUGGAAGUCCGGUUAUCUCCACCAAAAGUCCUGGCUGAGCAUACCUAGGCAUGACAAUAGUGUCUUCCAUUAACAAAAGACAAGACACACAUCGGUGGCAAGGGACUGGGAUAACCUUUGCCACCCAAAGCACAAUAAUUAGCAAUGGGCAUGGCUAACCAUACCACCAUCCUAUAGUUACCCUCCUGAAGUGCCCCAAAAAACACAAACAUUGUCUAAUGAUAAAAUCCCCCCAUAUAUGUGGGAGUUAUGAAAAAAUUUUGCGUGGAUAUUGAGACCGCCACGGGAGAAAAAGGUCUCAACUUGAGACCUUUCCACGCAAAAUUUGUUUUUGUGUACAGGGCCGGAUUUGGUCUUUAGACGGUCCCCGCAACAAAACCCCAACGCUGCGUGGUCCUCGACCUUGGUAGUUUCUGCAGCCAACGUGGGAAACUCUCACAGCCUGAGAUAAAGCCGGACCAUAACUUUAGGGAAGUAUAAAUAUGCCAUUUUUCGACGUAAUUCAAUUACAUUUGUGAAAUGUGUGUAUCGUUUCAGGUGUAUGGACGAACCAGCUUAGGGCUUCUGGGCAAGGAUGGAUCUACUGUGGUAUCUCAAACUGUAAAUCCUUAUUUUAAAAUACCUCCCAAAUAUUUAAAUUGGGUAUAGCCCAUAAUUAGUGGAGAGUGUAAAAAUAAAGUCGGACAAUUACGUUCAUAAAAGAUUCAGGAGGAUUAAAAGUCGAGGCGGUUUUAAAGCCCUCAAAAUGGUUUUCAAUGAUGUUGAUGCUAACAAUUGAUACGUAGAUACUACUACAACCUUUUUUGUGACUGGAUAUGCUCUACCAACGGCAGUAUCCCUCAAUCCCACUGUAAUAGAUACAUCAACCUUAGAUACGUUAUGCUUAUAUCUGUAUAUGUAUGUAGAAUUGAAUCACUACAACAAGUACUAAGCUGAUACUAUAUUUUUUAAAUCAUCAUACGUUUUGCUACUACCUCGUGUAAACCUAUAACACUGUAGGACAAAUAAUAUGAUGGGUUGUACUCGUCAUGACCUUCCUUAACCUAAUGCAUCGUUGGAAAAAAAUUGAAUAAAAAUAAAUACAAAAUAAUAAAAA